RNAcentral lists this long non-coding RNA (738 nucleotides) under Numida meleagris (helmeted guineafowl). RNAcentral describes it as "lncRNA (ENSNMEG00000010043.1)". The record is from RNAcentral. Lineage: Eukaryota; Metazoa; Chordata; Aves; Galliformes; Numididae.
GUCUGAUCCCAUGUUUGAUCUAUUUUUACUACUGUGUUACCUCAUCCUUGAGGAAGUCCUGAUUUCAUUAAAGGUGUCCUUGGUCUCUUUGGCUUCAGAAGUCAACACUGCAUACACUGUUAUUACUGAAAAAUGGGAAUUCUUAUCUAUUCAUCUACUUCACUGCUAUGUCCAUGUAGACAAAUUUACUGCAGCCAGAUACGAUAAAAAAACAGCAAAGUUCAGAUGGGGAUAAUCCAGGAUGGAAACCAGGACAAAGUGGAGGCAAUAAAAGGGAAAUAAUUCAGCUCUGUUUUUUUCUGCCUCCAUUUAUAGACACUUGCAGCCAGUCACCUUGGAUACUCGUUUUUUUUUCAUUCUUUAUCAUCAGAUGUGUGGCAAAGCCUAAUGUCAGAAGCAGAGAGGAGGGUUCUCAUUUGCUACUUACACAGACAAAAUAAGGUGAAUUUUGUCCUGAAUGCACCGACUGUAUUGAUAACAUCUGAGAUUCAAGUACCUCAACAUAUAUACACAAUGCCAUCUGAAAUACUCCAAACCAUCAACAGGAAACUGACAGCUAUGAUGCAGGAUAUGGAAGAGGCCUUAUUCUUCUGCACAAAUAGCUGGAUCCAGCAGAAAAACCUGAAUGCAUCAGAAAUGGCACAAAAAAAAAUGUGUUUAUGCAAUUUAAAAUUAAGCAUGCAUAAGAUUACUACUACUACAGGAACUUGGGCUGUAGAUAUUUCUUUAGCUAUUUAG